ACGCUCGACACCUACGGAGGCAGCAGUGGGGAAUAUUGCACAAUGGGGGAAACCCUGAUGCAGCGACGCCGCGUGAGCGAAGAAGUAUUUCGGUAUGUAAAGCUCUAUCAGCAGGGAAGAAACUGACGGUACCUGACUAAGAAGCACCGGCUAAAUACGUGCCCGACAGCCGCGGUAAUCUGAGCGGGCUGGCAAGGC
Molecule: ribosomal RNA, 198 nt
Filed under: uncultured bacterium
Lineage: Bacteria
Description: partial 16S ribosomal RNA
Rfam family: Bacterial small subunit ribosomal RNA
Source: RNAcentral